Molecule: ribosomal RNA, 468 nt
Filed under: uncultured bacterium
Lineage: Bacteria
Description: partial 16S ribosomal RNA
Rfam family: Bacterial small subunit ribosomal RNA
Source: RNAcentral
GACGAACGCUGGCGGCGUGCUUAACACAUGCAAGUCGAACGGAAAGGCCCUGCUUUUGUGGGGUGCUCGAGUGGAGAACGGGUGAGUAACACGUGAGUAACCUGCACUUGACUUUGGGAUAACUUCAGGAAACUGGGGAUAAUACCGGACAGGAGCUCCUGCUGCAUGGUGGGGGUUGGAAAGUUUCGGCGGUUGGGGAUGGACUCGCGGCUUAUCAGCUUGUUGGUGGGGUAGUGGCUUACCAAGGCUUUGACGGGUAGCCGGGCUGAGAGGGUGACCGGCCACACUGGGAUUGGAAUGCGGCCCAGACUCCUCCGGGAGGCAGCAGUGCGGUAUAUUGCACUAUGGGCGGAAGGCUAGUGCAACGACGCCGCGUCGGGUGUGCCGACCAUCAGUUUGUAAUCCGCAUUCGCCUGAGACGAAGCGUGAAUGACGGUAAUGGGUUAAGAAGCACCGGCUAACUACGUG